RNA transcript from Phacochoerus africanus (Common warthog), 4391 nucleotides. It is a transcript of the gene named mab-21 like 3, with no coding region annotated. The record is from RefSeq and is a predicted model, not a curated record. The transcript is spliced from 9 exons. NCBI's taxonomy places the organism in Eukaryota, Metazoa, Chordata, Mammalia, Artiodactyla, Suidae.
AGUUUGCCUCUGCCAAUCGUCAGAGUGCCUGUGUUUGCGGCACUGCCCUGUAUUUCGGAACCUCUGCCCGUAAGGAACCCUAUCAAAGGACAGGGGACUCGCUGUGUUUAUACAACACUCUUUUUCCCAGGUUCAGCAUUCAGGUAAAAUAAGACUGUUGUAAACCACGCCGAGCACCUGCUCCUUCUCCUCCCAGGCUCCUCGAUCGUCCCUCUUCGUUGUUUGCCCUGCUCACAUCUGGACAGCGUCACUGGGCUCUAGCACAAGAGAAGAAUUCCACUUUUGGCAUCAGGAUCAGCUGCCGUACUGGAGCAGUCAAGGUAGGACAGCUGCAGGGCGCAGAAGGAUGAAAGGUUGUGCCUCUGAAGACGGGCGUCUGGGGUGAGCUUAGAACAGUAGGAAAAGCCCCACCAGAAGAAAGGGACUCCCGAGUUAAUGAUUACAGUGAAGCAGAAGGAAGGACAAAAGCAAGAGCAUGCGGGAAAAACAGGAGGACUUUGGUGAAAUUGAAAAUGAAGUGGAGAGAGCUCUCCUGCACCCCUGUGAAAAAACGAUAUUUGGGAACAGCUGACCACUGGUAAGAGACGGCAAAGGAAGAAAAUUCUGAAAUCACUCCGGGAGCCUUUGACGGUAAAAAGAGAUUUGGAAAUGCAAAUGGAAGAAAACCAAAAAUCGAGGCAGUGUUGAGGCGGGGCAGCUUGACCAUGUUGAUAGCAGACUACAGAGUCACCAGGAAUCUGGAGAAGCUGGACUGGAACCCUGGGAUUAGCUGGCUGGGUGGAGCCUGGAGCUGCCGGGAGCUCUGAUGUGGCUUUCAGAUGGUGGGGAGUUCGGGAAGAUAUGCAAAUGCUGUGGUUAAGGAACAGCCUGGCUGCCCUGCACCGUUGCUGAGCGCUCAGGCAGUGCUCAAAGAUAAGAGACGGAUGCUCACAAUUUGGAAAUACGAGCUUGAGUAAGGCAUUGAGAAGGCAAGUCUCUGGUGCAUGUACACAUUCCCAGAGAAAUUCAGGCCCCAGAGACGAACAUCAUUGGCGACGUUGCCCACAAGUGCUGUCUGCACCAAGAGACAAGCCAAGAACAUUGCCGUUCUGCUCAGGAUUGACCAAGAAGCCAUGAAAUCCCUGACCGAAGGAAACUUGGAUGAUUGCCUACUGAAUAAGGUGGACUUGAGGCACCAGUGGAUCUCCCAGAUGGUGGAAGAAGUGCAGAAAGUGGUCCAUCAUCUGACCACAGAAAUCAGCCACCAAGACAUCCGGUUCCAAGCCAUCCCUUGCUCUGACACAUACAAUGAGAACAUUAAGGUGUUGGCCCCCACCCACUUCCUCGUCACAGUCCCACUGAGAGGCCUGGCCGGGUACCGGGAGGCCCGGCAGCAGCGCUGGCGCUACUACACCCUGCAGGGCAGCCGGCUGCCCUGCCCCCUGCGGGACCCAGAGGGCCUGCAGCAGUGGCUGGAGGUGGAGCAGUUCCUGAAGAACCUGUGGCAGUGGCACGAGGCCGACGUGAACAUCGAGGGGGACAUUGUGCCCGCCAGAGUCCUCCAGGUCUUCCGGAAACUGGUGGAAAACGCAAUUGAAACCUGUCACCUGCCAGGUAAUAAGGUCAGCAUGCUGACGGACCAACCUGGCGUUUGGGUUGCCGUGGAAACCUUCGCGGGUUCGGUGGAGCUAGAGCUGAUUCCCUCCGUGGAGAUCCCCACCUCCUGGUCCAAGAAAGCACGGUGGCCUCCUUGUCUGAGGCGCUGGCCUUCGGCAGAGAGAGUACAGUGCAUCAAGUCCUUUGGGUUUAGCCUGUUGGCCUGUUCAAACUAUCACUGGCAGCUGAGCUUCUUGCGGGCCGAGCAGGUGCUGCUGGAGCAGCUGGAUGAGGACGGGGGCUGCCGCAGGAAGUGCUUUCAAGCCCUGAGGCAGAUGAAGGAGGAUGUCUGGUGCCCCGGGAAGAGGCCUGUGAUCACCUCCCACCACCUGCAGUGAGCUCCCAGCAUGGUUUCACGCUGCCCCUGGAAGCAGUGAGAAAGAAGCAUCAAACAGCCAGCCGUGCUCCUCGGGAAUGUUCACAACUCAACAAGCAAUGACCAGGUACCAAGCAUGCUGCCAGGCACCGGUGAUACCGUGAUGGAUAAGGCAUCGUUGUCGAUCUGUGUGGGAGACAAUCCAUGCGCCUUCCUCGCAGGUGCAGUGGGGUCAUACACAUGUUGCCAGGGAAGCACAAACGAGGGUCGCUCCGGUCAGCCUUGGGGACUUAGAGCAUGCAGAUAGGAGAGCUUUUGGGGAAGGGGGGGUGCAGUUAAAGCGAAUCUGGAAAGAGAAGAAGCCAGGAGAAAUUGGGUGGAGGGUGGUGAGGCAGGAAAAGAGCCUAGAGAGAGUCAGAGGGGUGCAAAGCUGCGAGUGCCUGCAAGGUAGUGAAUGUCAAAAGCUGAAGCGGGAGGGGCAAGUAGAUGCUUGGGCUUUACCCGGGUUCAGAUGCUGGCUCUGUCACUUAGGAGCUGUGCAGCUUUAAGUAAAGUACUUAACUUUUCUGUGCCUCAACUCCCUCACCUGCAACAUGUGGUUAGGAAGAGUCCCUGUCCCAGAGGGUUGCUGAGAGCAUUAGGCGAGACAGUACAUACAAAGCAGGCAGCAGGGUGCCAGCCCAUGACAAGCCCUUGCAAAUGGCGCCAAUCAUUGUUGCUGCUGGGGUUAUUGCUCUUAUGCCAUCAGGGACAGGAAGGCGUGGAAAAGCUGUGAGCACCUCCUAUGCGCCUGCCUCCACAUGCAGCACCAGGAAUACAGUGCUCUUACAUGUCUUGUGAUGCCUGUAUGAGACCUCAACCUUGCAGAAAUCCAAGCAAAAAGGGUUGUGACUGUGGCGUUCCCUGGUGCCAGUUGCAGUGUUCAGGGAAUGGUAACGGUCUAUCCAUCCUUUGCUGAAGGUGCCUAUAGGAUGGGCUACAGGCAUGAGAUACAUCCGAGAUACACAGAUGGGCUACAGGCACGAGGGUGUACAUCCAAGAGCCCAGGAAGGCAGGGAAGUCCCCCUAAAAGGAAAAUACCAAGUAUGCUUGAUGGGGGGGAGUCACGGCUCUUUGUCCUCCCAGACCCGCAUGCCAUCCUGGGCAGCUUUUCUUUGCCCCAUACGUCAGCAACUCUCCAAAGUUUCUUUGGCCUCAUGGACUUUUUCUGUGGGUCUCUGCUUCUUCACACAAAGCAGAAAACCUCUCUCCCUGCGUGUCACUGAACCCAGAGCUUGGACAAGAGAGGGGAGGCCCUCACCCCUGAGUUGUGCCCACCUGGCUUUCUGCAUCCAGAAGUGGAGUCCACAAUGCCACCCGGGCUUGUGCUGGACAGAGGGGACUCACGUCUGCCCUGCCUUGUGGAGCGUCCCUCUAGCUGCUCUGCGCAGGAGACCUUCUCGGACCUAAACAUAGGCUGCAGAAGAGGCAGGGAGGAAGUGCCAGUCUGCUCGCAGGCUCACAACCCCACCUCCUGCUGACAACGGAGUGAGCAGAGAGGGCGCCUCUCCUGGGCUGCCUUUCCAAGGCUUCUAAGCUGCUUGGUGACCUCCAGGGUCAGCGGCUUCCUGGUGCGGCUCAGCUACGUGGCAUGGGAUCUGCUGCGGGAGUUCUGAGGAUGCGGCGCUGAGGCUGAAGGUGGUGGUGCUGUGGGUGGAGGGUCCCCAGGAUGCCCUUGGCCCACGUUCUCCUUUCCCCACUGCAGGAGCCACCAAGGCCGGCAGCUGGGAGCCUCAGGGCCACCCUAGCACAGCUCCCCUCCGAGCAGGUGAGAAAACUGAGGCCCAGAGAGGUUAAGGAACUUGCCUGGGGACACACAGUCUGUGAUAGAGGACAGAUUCGAGCCCAGGCUGUCUGACUCCAUUGUUGGCACUUUUAGCCCUGCGCUAUUUAGCCUCCGGUUCUGGUGCUCUUUCUGUGCGGAUCUUCAUAGAGAAUAAGCCACCACGUGAUACGUGGCAUCCAGGCCAGUGGACACUCUGAAGCCGAGAAGCAUGUGGAUCAGUGCUGACCACCAUCCAUGUGAGAAGAGGAGCCCCCGGGGAGGCUUGAGCCCAUCCAGGUGGACAAAGCUCUCCUUUCUCCCCGGGAUGUUUCCUGGUUGUUGCCAGAGCUUCUCAGGUAACCCCAGUUUGAGUGUCUGAAAUCCCUGUGGGAAGCCCAGCACCUCCAGAGCAAUACCUGGGAUUCUCAGAGCGUCCUAGAACCAGCCUUGGUUUGAGCAGCCGAGCUUUCAGACAUCCAGUUACUGGACACCUGGCCUCUGGGGCCUGUGGUGGGCCACCGGACCUCUCCCCAGGAACACCUAGUGGACACAUCUUGGAGCCUGUCACGGGGUACCUGUGGGCCUGGGUCUGUCUGUAGAAACGGACAAAAUUAUAUCUCACAAGGGUGCGCUUUA